This is a non-coding RNA of Salmo salar (Atlantic salmon), 311 nucleotides long. The record is from RefSeq and is a predicted model, not a curated record. Lineage: Eukaryota; Metazoa; Chordata; Actinopteri; Salmoniformes; Salmonidae.
GUACUGUGUAGUAUCAGGUUAAGUACUGUGUAGUACUGUGUAGUAUUGGGUUAAGUACUGUGUAGUAUUGGGUUAAGUACUGUGUAGUAUUGGGUUAAGUACUGUGUAGUAUCAGGUUAAGUACUGUGUAGUACUGUGUAGUAUCAGGUUAAGUACUGUGUAGUAUCAGGUUAAGUACUGUGUAGUACUGUGUAGUAUUAGGUUAAGUACUGUGUAGUAUUGGGUUAAGUACUGUGUAGUAUCAGGUUAAGUACUGUGUAGUAUCAGGUUAAGUACUGUGUAGUACUGUGUAGUAUUGGGUUAAGUACUGU